CCUACGGGAGGCAGCAGUGGGGAAUAUUGGACAAUGGGGGGAACCCUGAUCCAGCGACGCCGCGUGAGUGAAGAAGUAUUUCGGUAUGUAAAGCUCUAUCAGCAGGGAAGAAAAUGACGGUACCUGACUAAGAAGCCCCGGCUAACUACGUGCCAGCAGCCGCGGUAAUACGUAGGGGGCAAGCGUUAUCCGGAUUUACUGGGUGUAAAGGGAGCGUAGACGGCAGCACAAGUCUGGAGUGAAAUGCCGGGGCUUAACCCCGGAACUGCUUUGGAAACUGUGCAGCUAGAGUGCAGGAGAGGUAAGUGGAAUUCCUAGUGUAGCGGUGAAAUGCGUAGAUAUUAGGAGGAACACCAGUGGCGAAGGCGGCUUACUGGACUGUAACUGACGUUGAGGCUCGAAAGCGUGGAGAGCAAACAGGAUUAGAUACCCCGGUAGUC
This 440-nucleotide ribosomal RNA is filed under the name uncultured bacterium. RNAcentral's name for it is "partial 16S ribosomal RNA". It matches the Rfam family "Bacterial small subunit ribosomal RNA", at positions 338 to 795 of the family's 1533-position model. The record is from RNAcentral.